This is a long non-coding RNA of Phycodurus eques (leafy seadragon), 470 nucleotides long. RefSeq lists it as uncharacterized. The record is from RefSeq and is a predicted model, not a curated record. The transcript is spliced from 3 exons. NCBI's taxonomy places the organism in Eukaryota, Metazoa, Chordata, Actinopteri, Syngnathiformes, Syngnathidae.
GGGAGUUUAUCGUAAAUAGGCCCUCGUUGGGCUCGCAGGGGGAGGGUGGGACGCCUAAGUAUGCGACUAUCUACCUUGGACUAAACACAACGGGGAACAAGCGCCAUCUGUUCACGUCAAGAACUUGGCAGGACGACGAGGACGUGAAGGCUGCAAACACCGCUAACACGCUGCUAAAGCAGCAGAUUGUGCGGGCGUCGCACAUCCUGACGAUACAGACGAUAACUGGGGAUUUUGUGCUCCUGGAACAAAAUGGCAGCAGGCGGGAGCAAGCAGAAGCAUCCGGGGUGGGAGAUAAGGAGCGGGAAUGUUUGCCUGGCGUAAUCACACGAUCUUCACGUCUGGACCACGACAAGACAUGCUGAAGAAGCAUCAUCAUCCUCCUCAGAAGAACAUUCUGUUCCCAUGUAACACCUCCUUCCUCCUCAUGUAGACUGACUUAUUAUUAUUGCAACACUUCAUCACACUGA